This 250-nucleotide ribosomal RNA is filed under the name uncultured prokaryote. RNAcentral describes it as "partial 16S ribosomal RNA". It matches the Rfam family "Bacterial small subunit ribosomal RNA", at positions 524 to 773 of the family's 1533-position model. The record is from RNAcentral.
UACGUAGGGAGCAAGCGUUAUCCGGAUUUAUUGGGUGUAAAGGGUGCGUAGACGGGAAAGCAAGUUAGUUGUGAAAUACCUUGGCUCAACUGAGGAACUGCAACUAAAACUAUUUUUCUUGAGUGCAGGAGGGGAAAGUGGAAUUCCUAGUGUAGCGGUGAAAUGCGUAGAUAUUAGGAAGAACACCAGUGGCGAAGGCGACUUUCUGGACUGUAACUGACGUUGAGGCACGAAAGUGUGGGGAGCAAAC